Ixodes scapularis (black-legged tick) is the source of this 838-nucleotide long non-coding RNA. RefSeq lists it as uncharacterized. The transcript has 3 exons. NCBI's taxonomy places the organism in Eukaryota, Metazoa, Arthropoda, Arachnida, Ixodida, Ixodidae. The record is from RefSeq and is a predicted model, not a curated record.
AUAAAUAUAGAGGAGGAGAGUGUUGCCAAAAGUCACGUGGCUGUGCAAACUUUUUUUUCUUUUUCAAUUAAUGUAUUUGCAGCUGUUUAGGAGCCAUACAAAAUCGGUACGAUAUUUCUUUUUCUAUUUUUAAUAUUGAGCGUGUGCGUUCGAUGAUAAACAACUUUUAUCAUAUUUGGUGGUUGUGUCUAAACCAUAGAAAAUGGCGCAUGACCAGAGAGAAAAGAGUGAGCGCAACUCAAACCGGCCAGUUCUCGAUCGGCUGUUUUCAGGCGGAAAGAAAACGAAUUUCGAGCCACAAGUUGUGUUCUGGGUAGUUAAGAUCUCGUGUGUCAUGUACAAAUAAAAACCUCGGUGAGUAUAAAUACCUUGUCAGCGACCCUUUAAUAGGUCCUAAACCUGUCCAAGCCUCUACUGUCAGGCAGAAAAUCCUCCUGUGGACUGGCGGGUAGCAAAGCAGGAAAAGGGGGGACCCAAAGAAGACAACACGGGUGUGUUGUCUUCUUGCAGUUCUCUGCCCGAAGCGGAGGGGGUGAAGUGAGGGAGGAGGACACGACAGGCUCAUUCGCGCCGCUUCAUCAAUUUGGAAGGGGGUAACAAAGAGUUGGAUGCAGACACCGAAGGUCCACACUCGACGUGUGGAGAAAGACUGGCUUCAAGAGUAAAUGCGUGACAGGGCCCGACGUACUGGUUAUGAAGCUGAACUUAGAAGCCAACGCAUGUACAAAAGGGGCUCCGCGUGGCAAGCCGAAGUCAGCCUCGCCUCAGCGUGCAGUCCUGCUGUUACACCGCCAUCGACGCCCGCAAUGCUCUAAUGUUAUCUUCUGUUCCCAUUUUG